UUUUGAUGAAAUCUAGGCCGAGUUCGAAAAGGGAUCAUCUGGGGUCAAAAACUAGGUCACUAGGUCAAAUCAAAGAAAAACCUUGUGUAUGCAAUAGAGGCUGUAUUUUUCAACUGAUCUUCAUGAAUGUUAGUCAGAAUGAUUACCUUGAUGAAAUCUAGGCCGAGUUCGAAAAAGGGUCAACUGGGAUCAGAAACUAGGUCACUAGGUCAAAUCAAGGAAAAACCUUGUGUAUGCGAUAGAUGCUGUAUUUUUCAAUUAAUCUUCAUAAAUUUUGGUCAGGAUGAUUGCCUUGAUGAAAUCUAGGUCAAGUUCGAAUAUGGGUCAUCUGGGGUCAAAAAGUAGGUCACUAGGUCAAAUUAAAGGAAAAGCUUGUAUAUGCCAUAGAGGCUGUAUUUUUCAAUAGAUCUUCCUGAAAUUAAGUCAAAAUGAUAACUUUAAUGAAUUCUAGGCCGAGUUCGAAAAUGGGUCAUCUGGGGUCAAAAACUAGGUCACUAGGUCAAAUCAAGGAAAAAACUUGUGUAUGCGAUAGAGGCUGUAUUUUUCAAUUGAUCUUCAUGAAUCUUGGUCAGAAUGAUUGCUUUGAUGAAAUCUAGGCCGAGUUCGAAAAUGGGUCAUCUGGGGUCAAAAACUAGGUCAUAUCUAAGAAAAUACUUGUUUAAACUCAAGAGACCACAUUUUUAGUCCAAUCUUAAUGAAAAUUGACCUAAAUAUUUGUUUUCAUGAAAUCAGUAGGUUAAACAUGUUUACACUGUUAUAGUGUGUUUCGCAGGUGAGCGACCUAGGGCCAUCUUGGCCCUCUUGUUUAUAAAUUUUGUGUAAUUUAUGGUAUUUCCUCAAGCUCAAGUAGAGACAUAUUUCAAGUUGGCGGCCUGUAUCCAAAAUGUUUGCAGAGAUUUCAUUAUACAAUUAUUUUUUAUGAAAGAAUCAUCAAACUAUUGGUAAACAAUUAUAAAACUAAAAAACAUAAGUGUCAGUAUCAUUUUUUCUAGGGUGCCUCAAGUAAUCAGAUUUAAUUUUACAGAAUUCUAUCUCCAACAUUAAAAAACUGAGGUCGAAUCCUACGGGUCUGUUUUCAAUUUUGCUCACUUCAUCCAAAAAUAACUGCUGGGCAGAAGUAAAUCUUACCUGAAUUUCUUCCACAAUAUGUAAUCUAAAGAAUGAAGGCAAAAUAGAGAACUUUUACCGCACAUAACUCAGUAUUUUUAAAGAUGUCUAACUCUACCCCUUCUAUUUCAGAGGUAAAUUCACUUUGAACAGCAAGAAAUUGCUUAUCAAAUGAAUAUUUUCCAUUUUUGUACAAUAAAUCAAUAACAAGUCUUGAAAGAAGUAAAAACUUACCAGGAAAAAAAAAAGAAAAAUAAGGAAAAAAAUUUUGGUCCCAGUGGGGCUUGAACCUAUGCACCCCUGAAAAUCGCAGUCAGAGUAGGUUUAUGGUAGAAAUUGAAUACUCUUCAAAGAGGAGAUACUCUAUUAUGGGCCUAAUACCUUAACUUCGGUCUAUUGCACACAGAGUAUCUAUUCAAUGACUUUUUUGCCUGAAGUUAUAAACUGAAAGAGUUUAUUAAUUGUUAUGUUGAACCAAACAAUAUAUCUAAUGUCUUGAUUUAAUUUCAGAUGCUUGAAGAUGAAAUGAGAACGUUAGAGAUGUGCCUCAAGGCCACAGAAGGCUUGUGAGGCCAGAAUGAAGAGACCUUUUUGGAGGACAAAGGGAAGACAACUCUGGUGAAUAUUUUAGCUGGCAAAGAGACCAAAACUUCCAAAGAAAGGCUAUAUAAGUAUUGUCAGAGAAGAGAAGAAGUCAAGAAAGGUUUCAAUAUCUGGUUGUUGUGGCUGAAGUUAAUGUUUCUUGGAGCAGCCCUUAUCCACCUAGUCUUCAUUUACAUUUGAACUAUAUAUACAUGUAUAUACAGGAUUGGACGCAUGCAUAAAAGGAAGAAGUACUACAUUUCUGUGCCGAAGGAUUAGAAACUACUCCAGACUGGCAGCCUCGACAGAUGUGUUUUGGAAAUUUGAACAGUGACUGAAUACUUUACUUUGAUUGUGGCAAACAAGUUCAUUGUUGAUGAUAGUAGUGUUUUUGGGGGGUUUUUUUGGAAAGAUUGACUAGUACAGUGUUAAUCUCUAGAAUUGCAGAGCUGUCAGUGCUGUGAUUUUGUUGUUAAAUUCAAAAUCCAUGUCCAAAAGUGCUUGUUCUUCAAUUAAGGACAAAGAAGGAGAAAUUGUACUGGGCCAACACCAUAACACCAUAAGGAGACAGUCUUGUUUGAUUUAUUUGUCUGUGGAUGAAAAGGGACCACCUUGCAGAAUGAUGUUUCAAAUUAAUAUUCUUAUGGUGGAUUUUAAUUACAUUUGAAAGAAAUAUAUAUGUUACAAGAAACAUGCGUUAGUUAGAAAUUAUGUUGUUAGAUUUCAUGUUUGUCAUUUAAAAGUCAAAUUUGGUUGUUUACAAACAUUGGUGCACAUAAACUGACAAGAUAAAAUGCAUUUAUAUAUUCAGUAUUAUACAGGUUGUCAACCAGUUUGUUUUUUUGUGUUUUCUUUUUCCGUGUUUUAAAGAUUGUAUUUUUGGAAAUCUACAUCCUUAUUUUUUCUGCAUUUUGAAUUAUAUCAAAUAAAUGUCACAUGUUCUUUGAAAAUUAAAAGAUGUGUUCAUUUCUAAAAUUUUCAUUGUUCUGUUGCUGACUUGGCUAAAAUAUUGACAAUGAGUAGCUGCAAGAAGUUUUAUAAAUGCCACUUUUAAAGAUUUGAAAAUAUGAACAAUUUCAUAGUAUCAAUGUAAAGAUACAAUUAACAUGUUUGUGUGUAUAAAGAGAACUUUGUUAGGUAUAAAAUAGUACACACAAAAUAUGUGCAUAGCUAAGUGUAGUAUAAAUGUGUACUCCCUCUGCAAAAGUGGAAGUUUUUGUACCCCUGUUUUGGAAAAACUGGACAUUUUAUGUGAUGGCUGUUUGCCUCCGUCUGUCUGUCUGUCUGUCCAUCCAUCCAUCCAUAAUUUGUGCCUGGAUCAUAACUUAAAAAGUAUUUACUGACUUAAAACUUGACAUUUAGGUAGGUUGCAAUGAGAUGAUAAGCUGAGUGCAAAAGGGUUUGUAGAUCAAAGGUCAAGGCCACAAAUUGAGGUCGAAGGUCAAAUCUGACAUGCUAUUUUAUGUCUGGAGUUUAUCUUUAAAAGCAUUCAAGGUAUUGAUUUUAAACUUUGCAUUUAAGUUGGUGGUGAUCAGACAAAAUGUGCAGAGCUCAAGAUCUGGGCCAAAAGGUCUGAGGUCAUGGUCACAGAUUGAGCUCAGAGGUCAAAUCUGACUUCUAUUUCAUGUUUUACUGGAGAAUGACUGGGUCUGCAGCUGAAUUACUAUAUAAGGUGGUUGUUGUCAGAACAUGACCACUAUUGGUCUUACACUUAAUGAGAUUAUUGCCCUUUUGAUUGAGGUUUAGUAGGUCAAAGGUCAAGGUCAUAUUGGCUUUAAGGCUAAAACAGUUGCCUAUAAUUAUAAAAUGAUAUCUUGUGAUUAUAGAGGAUUUGUAACUUUUUGGUCAGUAUGCCAAACGCUAAGGUCAUAACAUAACUUGAGGCUGAAAAUAAUCCACCCAGUUACCCAGACAGGCCAUUAUUACAUACUCGUUUCUAUUCCCCAUUAAGUUACACUGGUACUGGAAACGUCAAUAUUUUUCCAUACACUGACGCCUGAAUUUCAUACCGGGUGCGUGACGUAAUUCAGUGCGUGUUGUUGCACUAUUUUUUCUAUUUCGUUCAGUAUUGUCAAUCCUAUUCAGGCUAUUGAACAAAAUUUUGAAAUUUACAUUAUAUCUAUAUGUGUAGAUGCGUAUGUAAUAAAAAGGUUAUUAUCUUUGCAUCGGGAAAUAUGCACUUGUUCUUCAGCGGAAGAAGAUGGCGCUCCUAAAGUUGCGCAAUAUUUUCGCUGAAGAACUCGUUCAUAUUUCCCGAUACAAAGCUAAUAACCUAUAAUUAUUGGGGGCAUGUGUGGUUUUCAAACAACUCUGUUUAUAUGUCAUUGACAACUUGUGAGAAAGUUUUACAUUUCUUGUUUGUCUAUCAGUUAGCAUUACAGUAGAUUUCAAGGCAUUGUGGCAAAUUCUGUGUGAGAGUUAUAUGCUAGUAGAUUGUGAGGGCAUAAAUUUGGUAGCAUUUCAGUAAAAGUUGUUAAGUUUAAUUUGAGCUAUUAUGAUUAUGGGUCAUGCUUACAUUUUAAAGCCUUCUUAAGCAAUAUAGCAUUUAUUUCAAGAUAUCUAAAAAAAGAAAAAACAUUUUUGUUGUCAAACGAUCUGGAGGCAUGCUGCUUUAAGGUACACACUGAAAUUGGAGAUAGACUUUCACAAUCAGAUUCAUAUAAAACUUCAUGAACUUCAUGAACAAUUAAAGAGAAAAAAUGCAAAGAGCCCAGUAGUUCAGUUUGUACAGCAUUAUAAUUUGAGGCCUGGGUUAGAGUCUCAGUUUGGCUGCACAUUUUUCUAUGUAACACCAGCGUUGUUAACAGUUGCAUUGCAUACAAGAAGCUUGAUAUACAAUACCAGCCAAAUUUGUGUAUGUUAGCAGUACCAUAACCUGUAUUGAACCAAAUAAAGCAAUUUAGAAGAAAUCAAAUAAAAAACAAAAUAAUAGACAUACUAAUAAAUUUUGAUAAUGUGGCGGUUGAUCUCAAUACAAUCGACACUGUUUAUUUGCCAAUACAGGUAAAUCCAGUAUUAAAUUUUGCUUUAGGCCUACAAUAGAUCUAAGACAGAUUAUCUUUGAACACCCCUGGACUUAUUGGACUCAACUGCCAAAUUAUCAAAGUUUAUUAGUACAUGGAAAAAGUCAUUAUCACUACUAAAGUAUUGUAGUUUAUUGAUAAAGUUUGAAUUGUUACCAUAUUCCAGUGGUUAAUAUUCAGAUCACUAGACUACAGCUGCAGGUUUGAGGCAUAGAGUGAAUAGAAUGGUGUUGGUUUUAUUUAUUUUAUUUUAUUUUGUUGGGUUUAACGUUGCAUCGACACAAUUAUAAGUCAUAUGGCGACAUUCCAGCUUUGAUGGUGGAGGAAGACCCCAGGUGCCCCUUCGUGCAUUAUUUCAUGACAAGCGGGCACCUGGGUAGAACCACCAACCAUCUGUAAGUCAGCUGGAUGGCUUCCUCACAUGAAGAAUUCAAUGCCCCAAGUGAGGCUCAAACCCACAUCGAUGACGGUGGUUUUAUUUAGUUGCCUGUCCAAAUUGGAAAGUCACCAUCUAACCUAGAUUGUGUCGGAUUGACUUCAAACACAUGGAUCCAUCUUGUUGAUUUUAAUGCAAGGUGAAAUAUAGGCUUUCAAAGUAGGAGAUAGGAAUCUGUAAAUAAGGACAUCACUCUUUAUAUAGCUUGUCCCCAGAAGAAAAACAAGAUUUUCUCUUCUAUUUACUGAGAUACAAAGCUGUUCUGCAAGAUCUGAGGACACUGAAGGCAUAUUCUCUUUCUGUCCACAGAAGCCGUGUGGGCUUUUCUCUCUAUAGAGAUACUAAGCAGUGCUACAAGGUGUGGGGACACUGAGAUAAUAUUCUCUUUCUGUCCCCAGAAGCUGUGCGUGUGUUUCUCUCUAUGGAGAUAACUUAGAAGUGCUACACGGUGUGCGGACACUAACAUAUAUUCUCUUUAUGUCCCCAGAAGCUGUGCAAGAUUCUCUGUCUUUAUUGAGAUAAUGUGGGUCCUCGGAAGGUUCGAGGACAAUUGAGAGACAGUAUGUUUUACUAUGACCCCACAAGUCGUGUUCUUUGAGGAUCUUUCUCUUGUCCCCAGAAAUACUAGAAACUGUUCUCUCCAAUGUAAUGAGACAACAGUAGGUCCUUGCAAUGAAUGGGGACAAUAUGAGAGAAAGUGUACCAAAGUCCACACCAGGAUUUCUGUAUUUCUUUUAAUCAGCUCAUCAAUGGAGAGAGUUGUUUAAAGAUAUCCAAUGGCCAUUCUGUCAGUGAAAUAUUUUAUCUUUAGAUAUCUUCUUCUAAUGUAUAAAAUCCUGAUCAAAUGUAUUUAACUUUACUAAAUAUAUAAAUUAAUUUUCCAUAUAGAGCUACUGGUAUAUCCAUAAUCAAAUGUCGUGCAGUAACAGUUGACUGUUAAAAAAGCAGCCAGCUUUUUAAGUGGUAGUACACAUUUAUACUAUAUUCAUAUGAAGAACGUACUGUUUUAAACCAAAUGCAUAGCGCUGUUAAUACAUAUAGAUGUGUCAAUAUUAUGUUUACUUAAACUAUAUGAAGUAAUUGUUAAUGUUUUAAUAUGAAACUUGGAUCUAAUAUACCUGUAAUAAGGACCUGUUGAAUAUGGAAACCAUUUCCUUUUCUAAAUUUUUAUAUGCCCCUAGUCAAUGGGUUUACAGCAAAUUCAUUUUAUCACAGUGCAAUCAAGGACUGGAAUAUGUUACCAGCUGACAGAAAAUCAGCAAAGUCCAAAGCUACUUUUAAAGGAACAUCUAUUAACUAUGGUGGCUGAUUUCUGCCAGUGUGGCGCCUCCGCCAUAACGAAAGAACGACGUUUUCCUCUUGGCAUUGUGUCGUUCUGGCGCCCCCCGCCAUAACGAAAGAACAACGUUUUCCUCUUUUGGCGUUGUUUCGUUCCCUCGUUCUGGCGCCCCCGCCAAAACGAUAUAACGAAGAAUGCAACGCGACAGAACGAAAGAACGACACUUAUAAACGGCGCCCUAAAAAACGUCGUCUUGGCGUUCUUUUGUUCUGGCGCCCCCGCCACAACGACAGAACGAAACAACGCCAAAUGUGAAAAUAUCGUUCUGGCGCAUUCCGGCAUAUAUAUAUACAUAUAUAUAUAUUUUUUUAAAGAUUUUCACAGAAUUAUGGCCCCUUUUCGACUUAGAAUAUGCUUAUCAUAAUGUUAAGUUUUACUCAUAGCUUAUAUUAUACUAUCAAGCACUGAGAAUAGUCGAGCGCACUGUCAACUGACAGCUCUUGUAUAUAUAUAUAUAUAUAUACAUUUUUUUAAAAAAAAUUUAAGAAUAAAAUAUGGUGUUUUUAUGAAAUAAGUGUUUAGUAUUUGUGUUACCAUGUCAGUUCGUGUAGAAAGUUAUUAAACCCUUAGUUUCUGCAUAUGUUUGUAUCAUAGUGUAAUUGAUUUGAUUUUGUAAGACUUAUAUAAUAUGCUAAUGACACAAACACCUAAAUUGUAAUGUCACUCGUAAGAUCAUGACAUGUUAACAUCUUUGUAUUCAAAAUAGGUAUAGAAUAUAUUAACCACUAUAUGAUAUGUAUUAUGACAACGUCAGAUCUUUGUCUUGUGAUUUCAUUAUCACUUUUAUAACAUCAUGUGACACAGUUUUGCUAAAGCAGUUAGUGACUUAAGAUCUAAAUGUGACAGUAUGGACCCCGUUGGAGAUAAGUUUUUGCAUGUAAAUGCCGAAGCUUUUCAGGCAAUCCUGUGCACAGUCUGCUAUUUAUAAUUAUAUAUACUAUAUAUUUUAUAUACUGAAAUAAGUAUUAUAAUUAUCAGUGAUAUCGGAUAUCAUUCACAUUUUGUUUCAGUCACUAUAUUAUCAGAACAACAAUAACAUCCUGUGAUAAAUUAUUAAUAUCAUUAUUAUGUGAAGGAUGACAUUUCUUUGUUACAACUAUGAUAUCUGAGAAAUACCAUGAUUAGGUAAUAUGCUAUAUAAUUUGUAUUGACAUGAAGUGCACAAA
Molecule: long non-coding RNA, 7653 nt
Organism: Mercenaria mercenaria
Lineage: Eukaryota; Metazoa; Mollusca; Bivalvia; Venerida; Veneridae
Exons: 4
Source: RefSeq, a predicted model, not a curated record